This 238-nucleotide long non-coding RNA is filed under the name Elaeis guineensis (African oil palm). RNAcentral describes it as "long non-coding RNA (EGUI_LNC037811)". Lineage: Eukaryota; Viridiplantae; Streptophyta; Magnoliopsida; Arecales; Arecaceae. The record is from RNAcentral.
UGUGUCGUUACAAAUUUCUUCUCCACUCCCGAGAUUGCUAGCCUAGCUGCUCAUGAAGUAGUCCCUUUCUAUUCCUCUAUGCAAGGCUCUAGAAGAAUUUCUGGGCUCUUCCUCUAAUGGGAGUACAAAAGUCUUUUUAUAGGUGUUAGGAGGGAGGAGUUUUACAUGAUUUUUCGAUGUGGGACUAAAAAAAAUACUAAAGACUAAAAGAUGGAUGGAUGAGAUGAAAAGAUCACAA